UUAAAUGAAUUAAUUAUGAAAAUGAGCUAAGAGCGUCAUUUUACCGCAACCUGAGUGUCAGGCUUUGUGUUUUAAAAUGGAAACAAUGGCAACAGUAAUUAUAGGCAAGUUUAUUAAUGGUUCACACUCAAUAAAAUACUUGUAACUGGCCCCUUAGUUCUCUAACGCAGAUACACUUCGCAUUUUAUUUUAAGACACCGUUAACUAAAUAUUAACAAAAGAACGUUUAAGUAGUUUGUUCUUUGUUUACUUCAGAGUAAGUACAUGCUGUUUUAGUCAUAUUUGAUUAGUACUGGCCGAGAACAAGACGAAAGAAACUCGAAUGUCAGGCUAAAUUUUGCAUGUCUUUAUGCAUGUUGUUUUGCCUAAAAUAUGUUUCUGAUUUAUUAUUAUAAAGAGCGAAAAUAAUAAAUGUUAAACAGCCUAUAUUAAACAUUUUGAUAAUGUUCCUAUGACGGUCUAAGACCCUUCCACCAACCUGCCAGCCCAGGGUGUUCCUUAUUUCCAGUUCUGAAAGUUGGCAACCCUACUUUCUACUGAUGGGAGCAAGUAAUUAAGGUGAAUUAAAUUAAAGUUAAAAACACUCCUAAUAAGUCGGCUGAUACGAUUGUACAUUACAUCAAAUAAUUUUUAUUUAUAGCUGACAACUGUUUUUUAAUUUGUUGUUAUUAUUGUUUAGGGCUUAACGCUGAACGUGAAGGAAUAAGUUUAUCUGACCAUAAAGGCCCUUGUUAAAGAGCAGCUGUACAAAGUUGGCUGAUCUGAAAUGUACACGUUUCAGAUUGUUAAACUACGUUUAAUAUCAGAGAUCAAAGUAAACACAAAAGGAAAAUGCUGUUCAGCCAUCCCUUACCUACAGAAUCAACCAGUUCACUAAAUACAAAUGGGUUGCCACACCCGGGCAUGAUCACCGCCAGACCUGUUGUAUCUACACUGAUCAGCCAUAGUGACACUGACAUGGUGGUGGUGUGUUAGUGUGUGUUGUGCUGGUAUGAGUGGAUCAGACACAGCAGCGCUGCUGGAGUUUUUAACACUGUAAAAAAUGAUUCUUGAACCCAGUAAAGUUUUCUUAUUAAAAUGAGUAGAUUUUACCUAAAAUGCUACUUUUUGAACUUUACUUAAUAAAAAGAAUAAACACAGUCAUAUAUUUUAUGUUUUUAUUAUAUUCACAAUUUUGCUAAAACAUUACUUAAAGUUUAGAUGACUAUCAACAUCCACUAGAAUUAAGUACACUGAACAAAAAAUUUUGAGAUUUCUUGGAAAAUCACGUGACGCAGGAUGUUGGCACAAAGAAGAAAAUUUGAAUCAUGCAGGUGCAGUACAUCUAAAGUCAGAAUUUAACAGGUAAGAACACUUUUUCUGUUUAUUUCUAUUUUGCAGUUUUGAGUCAUUUUCUAGUUUUAGACAGUAGAUAUGUAUUGGUUUAUUGUGCUGUUACUGUGGGUGGGGAAAAAGGUAUUUUUAUUGCAAAACAAAUAAGCCGAUGUUGGUGUGCUAGGUAGGAAGCAUGAAUAUAUUUUAGAUUCAAUCUAAUGGAUGGUUUUAGGAGUGUUAAGUCACAAACCACACCAAAACUUAAUUUAUUCGGUGUUUAAGGGAGUAGUCACACAAGGUCUGUUGCCUUGUACUGGAACUUAUUUGGAGUCAUUUCGGCCACGGCAACACAACAAAGCAAUUUUUUUUGUUGCACAUGAAGAUUUUUAGAGGCAGCUGAUGUUGAUAACAUUUUUCUAUUUAAAUAAAAUACAGAGAGAACAGUUCAAUAGUCAUUGUUGAGAUUACUAUUAUUAUUAAUAUUAUUAUUAAAACAAAAUUAACCCAUAUUGUUUUAUCGUUAUAUCAGAUUCAAGGAAGCUUUUGAGAUUUUAUGAGCGUUCACCUAAGUAAAUCAUUAAUUGGGUUUGUAAAAUUUGUCAAAAAGAAGUUUUGAGAAGAAGAGACCUUUUUAAAAUUGUCAAAUUGAUUAUGACUGCUUAGGGCACCAUCCCUGUCCACACUCUGAAUGCCUUUGCACCUUCAAGACUCACAGUGCCCACCUGUACGAGACCUGAUGGAGACAUGGCCUGCCCUUUUUGAUGUUGUUCAGGUGAAAGAGAAAUACAGAAGUUUGACUGCCGUUUGUUUGGAAUCACAAUUCUAUUCUAACUUGGACAAGGAUCCAAAUCCAUUAAGUACAAAUGUAUUUUGAUGUUUUUUAAAUGCCAUUUCUAAAAAUAAACUGUUGUUUGAAGUUGACUAAA
This is a long non-coding RNA of Trichomycterus rosablanca, 2240 nucleotides long. RefSeq lists it as uncharacterized. Lineage: Eukaryota; Metazoa; Chordata; Actinopteri; Siluriformes; Trichomycteridae. The transcript has 3 exons. The record is from RefSeq and is a predicted model, not a curated record.